This 591-nucleotide long non-coding RNA is filed under the name Linum usitatissimum (flax). Its description in RNAcentral is "long non-coding RNA (LUSI_LNC007494)". Lineage: Eukaryota; Viridiplantae; Streptophyta; Magnoliopsida; Malpighiales; Linaceae. The record is from RNAcentral.
ACUAGUAGUAAUCCAAAGGAGACUUGCCUGAUGUACAUUGUAAUCAGUAGAGCAAACAAACCCAAGAGCCAGUGAGCUGAUAUGAGAGCUUUGGAAGGGGAUAUAUAAAAUAUUUUAGUUCAUUGAAGUCAACAAGAAAACUAUGUCUAUGUAUAAAACUAAAAUAAAAGCAGCUUUAAUUGACACCAACUAUCCGGAAAAAUCCAGAUAAAAACAAACAAAGAAUGGUUGCUGAGAGUUCGGGACAGAGGUAAUGGCACAGCAGGAGCAGCAGCAGAGGGAGGAAACAUGACAAUGGUGGAAAAACCAUAAAACCAAAGUGAAGAGAGGAAGAGGUCGAGGACAGAGAAAGAAAGAGUAGGUAGGGAGGGAGAAAAAGAAAGGCAGGACACAGGGAGAAGUAGAUGAAAUGGGAGUGGGUUUGGUUUCAUUCAGAUGAAGAGGAGAAGAGAGAGUGAAAGAAAGGGAUGGGGCAGCAGGAAGAAGAAGAAGAAGAAGAAGAAGAAGAGGAGGAUGAAUGGUUUGUGUUGUGGAGUUCAAGGCAGAGAGAGUCGAUGGAUGGUUAAUAUUAAAUGCGAGAGCGAGGGAGGG